RNAcentral lists this ribosomal RNA (484 nucleotides) under uncultured bacterium. RNAcentral describes it as "partial 16S ribosomal RNA". It matches the Rfam family "Bacterial small subunit ribosomal RNA", at positions 30 to 507 of the family's 1533-position model. The record is from RNAcentral.
AUUGAACGCUGGCGGCAGGCCUAACACAUGCAAGUCGAGCGGAUGAAGGGAGCUUGCUCCUGGAUUCAGCGGCGGACGGGUGAGUAAUGCCUAGGAAUCUGCCUGGUAGUGGGGGAUAACGCCCGGAAACGGGCGCUAAUACCGCAUACGUCCUGAGGGAGAAAGUGGGGGAUCUUCGGACCUCACGCUAUCAGAUGAGCCUAGGUCGGAUUAGCUAGUUGGUGGGGUAAAGGCCUACCAAGGCGACGAUCCGUAACUGGUCUGAGAGGAUGAUCAGUCACACUGGAACUGAGACACGGUCCAGACUCCUACGGGAGGCAGCAGUGGGGAAUAUUGGACAAUGGGCGAAAGCCUGAUCCAGCCAUGCCGCGUGUGUGAAGAAGGUCUUCGGAUUGUAAAGCACUUUAAGUUGGGAGGAAGGGCAGUAAGUCAAUACCUUGCUGUUUUGACGUUACCAACAGAAUAAGCACCGGCUAACUUCGUG